Phasianus colchicus (ring-necked pheasant) is the source of this 812-nucleotide long non-coding RNA. The record is from Ensembl. NCBI's taxonomy places the organism in Eukaryota, Metazoa, Chordata, Aves, Galliformes, Phasianidae.
UGUUAAUGAGCUCAUUAACUGCCGUUGCCCCUCUCUCCCUUGCACCGAACUCAGGGCAGUGGGCUUCAGAGUGAGGAGAGAUCAUCUCUGUGAAGAGCUGUGUUCUUGGAGGGAUGCCUGCGCAGAAGCCCAGGGAGAAAGGAAAUCUCGGACAGCUUUUGUCGUGCCACCGCUUGUUAUCCGCUGCUAGUUGGCGUCGGGAGACUGAAAGCAGAGAGAGCUGACAGGAGAUCUCAGGCUACCUUCCCUCCUAUAAGGAAAUAGUGCCCAUCACUCAAAUGAUGGGGGAAGGCUUCUCUUAGGACUUGAGGCAACAGAUCUACUUAGGAUUCUGAGAAAGAUACAUUCUCGCAUUGCUGGGAAGAAGAGAGCAAAAAGAAAUACAAAACAAACAGCUAUCAUUUGUCAAUAUUGGUUCCAUGCCACAGGUGAAAUUUUCACUAAUUAGAAAUCACCUGGAGGCUGUGCAGCAGAUUGAGUCUUCAGCUGGAAGUGCUUCAUGACAGGUGGCUUACCACAAGGCAACAUCACAAUUACCUAACAUUGCUUGACUUGUGUAAACUCUAAUAACCACUCUCAUUGUUUAAUGACCUGUGCACACAUUCGCACCUCCCCACAGUACACCACAGUCCUCAGUCAAAGAUUUCACGGUUUGUAAUUAAGUAUGAAACACUGUAAGUUUGUAAGAAAGCUUGUAACUAUGAAAGCAUGUAAGCUUGGUUUUAAACUUGAAAAAUUAUUCCUAAAUUGGUAAGGUUGAAAGAUUGUAAGUGCAUUUGAGAGUAUGAAAGUAAACUUGAAAGUAAGCUCCC